Molecule: ribosomal RNA, 428 nt
Filed under: Verrucomicrobiota bacterium
Lineage: Bacteria; Pseudomonadati; Verrucomicrobiota
Description: Verrucomicrobia bacterium partial 16S ribosomal RNA
Rfam family: Bacterial small subunit ribosomal RNA
Source: RNAcentral
UAGGGAAUCUUCCGCAAUGGACGAAAGUCUGACGGAGCAACGCCGCGUGAGUGAAGAAGGAUUUCGGUUCGUAAAACUCUGUUGUUAGGGAAGAAAAAAUGUAUAGUAACUAUAUACAAAAGAGACGGUACCUAACCAGAAAGCCACGGCUAACUACGUGCCAGCAGCCGCGGUAAUACGUAGGUGGCAAGCGUUGUCCGGAAUUAUUGGGCGUAAAGCGCGCGCAGGUGGUUUAGAAAGUCUGAUGUGAAAGCCCACGGCUCAACCGUGGAGGGUCAUUGGUAACUAAUAAACUUGAGUGCAGGAGAGAAAAGUGGAAUUCCUAGUGUAGCGGUGAAAUGCGUAGAGAUUAGGAGGAACACCGGUGGCGAAAGCGGCUUUUUGGCCUGCAACUGACACUGAGGCGCGAAAGCGUGGGAGCAAACAGG